RNAcentral lists this ribosomal RNA (492 nucleotides) under uncultured bacterium. RNAcentral describes it as "partial 16S ribosomal RNA". It matches the Rfam family "Bacterial small subunit ribosomal RNA", at positions 29 to 507 of the family's 1533-position model. The record is from RNAcentral.
AGUGAACGCUGGCGGUAGGCCUAACACAUGCAAGUCGAACGGCAGCACAGUAAGAGCUUGCUCUUACGGGUGGCGAGUGGCGGACGGGUGAGGAAUACAUCGGAAUCUACUUUUUCGUGGGGGAUAACGUAGGGAAACUUACGCUAAUACCGCAUACGACCUACGGGUGAAAGCAGGGGAUCUUCGGACCUUGCGCGAUUGAAUGAGCCGAUGUCGGAUUAGCUAGUUGGCGGGGUGAAGGCCCACCAAGGCGACGAUCCGUAGCUGGUCUGAGAGGAUGAUCAGCCACACUGGAACUGAGACACGGUCCAGACUCCUACGGGAGGCAGCAGUGGGGAAUAUUGGACAAUGGGCGCAAGCCUGAUCCAGCCAUACCGCGUGGGUGAAGAAGGCCUUCGGGUUGUAAAGCCAUUUUGUUGGGAAAGAAAAGCAGCAGGUUAAUACCCCGCUGUUCUGACGGUACCCAAAGAAUAAGCACCGGCUAACUUCGUG